AUACGGAGGGUGCAAGCGUUACUCGGAAUCACUGGGCGUAAAGCGCGCGCAGGCGGUCUUUUAAGUUGGAUGUGAAAGCCUACGGCUCAACCGUAGAACUGCAUCCAAAACUAUUAGACUAGGGUGUGGGAGAGGAAGAUGGAAUUAGUUGUGUAGGGGUAAAAUCCGUAGAGAUAACUAGGAAUACCAAAAGCGAAGGCAAUCUUCUGGAACACUACUGACGCUGAGGCGCGAAAGCGUGGGGAGCGAACAGGAUUAGAAACCCUAGUAGUCC
RNAcentral lists this ribosomal RNA (274 nucleotides) under uncultured bacterium. Its description in RNAcentral is "partial 16S ribosomal RNA". It matches the Rfam family "Bacterial small subunit ribosomal RNA", at positions 523 to 796 of the family's 1533-position model. The record is from RNAcentral.